Molecule: ribosomal RNA, 464 nt
Filed under: uncultured bacterium
Lineage: Bacteria
Description: bacterial SSU rRNA
Rfam family: Bacterial small subunit ribosomal RNA
Source: RNAcentral
CGUGCUUAACACAUGCAAGUCGAACGAGAAUCUGUGGAUCGAGGAUUCGUCCAAGUGAAGCAGAGGACAGUGGCGGACGGGUGAGUAACGCGUGAGGAACCUGCCUUUCAGAGGGGGACAACAGUUGGAAACGACUGCUAAUACCGCAUGAUACAUUUGGGUGGCAUCAUCUGAAUGUCAAAGAUUUAUCGCUGAAAGAUGGCCUCGCGUCUGAUUAGCUGGUUGGUGAGGUAACGGCCCACCAAGGCGACGAUCAGUAGCCGGACUGAGAGGUUGACCGGCCACAUUGGGACUGAGAUACGGCCCAGACUCCUACGGGAGGCAGCAGUGGGGAAUAUUGGGCAAUGGGCGCAAGCCUGACCCAGCAACGCCGCGUGAAGGAAGAAGGCUUUCGGGUUGUAAACUUCUUUAAGAGGGAAGAGCAGAAGACUGUACCUCUAGAAUAAGCCACGGCUAACUACGUG